AUUGAACGCUGGCGGCAGGCCUAACACAUGCAAGUCGAGCGGAUGAGGGGAGCUUGCUCCUGGAUUCAGCGGCGGACGGGUGAGUAAUGCCUAGGAAUCUGCCUGGUAGUGGGGGAUAACGUCCGGAAACGGGCGCUAAUACCGCAUACGUCCUGAGGGAGAAAGUGUGGGAUCUUCGGACCUCACGCUAUCAGAUGAGCCUAGGUCGGAUUAGCUAGUUGGUGGGGUAAAGGCCUACCAAGGCGACGAUCCGUAACUGGUCUGAGAGGAUGAUCAGUCACACUGGAACUGAGACACGGUCCAGACUCCUACGGGAGGCAGCAGUGGGGAAUAUUGGACAAUGGGCGAAAGCCUGAUCCAGCCAUGCCGCGUGUGUGAAGAAGGUCUUCGGAUUGUAAAGCACUUUAAGUUGGGAGGAAGGGCAGUAAGUUAAUACCUUGCUGUUUUGACGUUACCAACAGAAUAAGCACCGGCUAACUUCGUG
RNAcentral lists this ribosomal RNA (484 nucleotides) under uncultured bacterium. RNAcentral describes it as "partial 16S ribosomal RNA". It matches the Rfam family "Bacterial small subunit ribosomal RNA", at positions 30 to 507 of the family's 1533-position model. The record is from RNAcentral.